RNAcentral lists this ribosomal RNA (492 nucleotides) under uncultured bacterium. RNAcentral describes it as "bacterial SSU rRNA". It matches the Rfam family "Bacterial small subunit ribosomal RNA", at positions 15 to 518 of the family's 1533-position model. The record is from RNAcentral.
GAUUAUGGCUCAGAACGAACGCUGGUGGCGUGUCUAUACAUGCAAGUCGAGCGAGGCAGCAAUGCCGAGCGGCGAACGGGUGAGUAACGCGUAAGCAAUCUGCCCCAUAUCAGGGAAUACCCGUGCCAACGCGCGGUUAAUGUCCAGGAGAGUGGCCUUCUGCAUGGAAGGUUGACUAGAGAUUUAUCGGUAUGGGAUGAGCCUGCGUCCGAUUAGCUAGUUGGCGGGGCAACGGCCCACCAAGGCGACGAUCGGUAGCCGGCCUGAGAGGGUGAUCGGCCACAUUGGGACUGAGAUACGGCCCAGACUCCUACGGGAGGCAGCAGUAGGGAAUAUUGCACAAUGGGGGAAACCCUGAUGCAGCAACGCCACGUGUUGGGAAGAAGCAUUUCGGUGUGUAAACCACUGUCAUGAGGGAAUAAGGCCCUUAUCCGUAAGGGACUUGAAUGUACCUUGAGAGGAAGCACCGGCAAACUUCGUGCCAGCAGCUGC